UUCAGGUGGCGAUACUAAGUGAAAUGAAGAAUUCCGAGAGAGCAUCAGACAAGUUGCUGAUGGUGUACUAUCCAUUUCUAGGAUUCGCUGUUUUAGCAAUUUUACGUGGUCUACUACCUCAUUCUGGCAAGAGUGCGAGCAUUGGAAAAAGAUCCGUUAUAGGCAGGAAGAAGAAGGCUUAAUCUUUCAACUCAGAAGCUUAGAAUUGAAGAGUUUGUAUUUCUUUAGGCAGUGAUACCUACAAACCAUAUCAAUUUUUGUUAUUGGUUCUUUUUAGUUGACAUUAUAUUUUGAUGGCUUGUGCACGAGUUUUCACGUAAACAAUCACAAAAUGAGUUUUAGUUUCACAAGUGCUGAUGACAUUGUUAGUUUUAAAUCUUGAUAUAAUUUCCUUCUCGUUCGCAACGAUCUGCUGUUGCAUCUUCAAAGAUCAAUUUUCUUGCUAGAAAGUCUAGCAAAGUACUAUAUACCAGAAAUAGGAACUCCAUUUGAGUUGUCUAAAAGACUAUUACAAUGUAUUUCGAUUGGAUUAACUAGUUUCUCAACAGUUGAUUUUGCGUGCUUCAGUAGCUGACACUUGACAGAAACAAAAAAAAUUAUAUUUGACGGCAUUACUUGGCGGAAAAUUUGAACUAAUGGAAAUUAUUCAGGAAAAUAUAUGGGAUAGGAUUGCUAAUUGCAUUCGAGAUGUAGCUGGAGUUGAGGUGAUGGGUCUCGACAGGUAAAAGAAAGUCAUUUUUCUUAAAUUGGAAGGAAAAUAAAUUUAUUAUAAAAAUUGUUGGAAUAUUAACACCCAGAUUUGCCUAAGAAAUAGAUAUAUUCCAUCUGUUCCUUUAUAGAUUAGAGCAACUAUGUUACCUACUUACGUUAUGUAAAACAAAUAAAGUAAUGACACAAUAUUUUAUUGUGGAAAAUUUUAAAAAAGAACUGCUUCUGGAUCUACUCAUUAUUGACUAGUGAGCGAGAUUUCAAAGGGAAACAUUAUUUGCAUAAUUAGCAUUACUGUUGAGUGGCAGUUGCAAAGAGACGAAGACGAAAAUGGGUGGUUUUGUUAAGCUAUUGGACUUGCUUCUUUUCAUCUACUUCUUCUUCAUGGCCAUUGUUGCACCACUCUUUGAUGGUCAAACUGCCCUUCCUAAACACAUAUUUCACCCUGUGUUGGUUGACCUAAAGAGCUGGUACACUCAAGAAUGUGGUGAUUAUUUGGUUUCUGAGAAACCCCAUUUCUUUGUUGGGUUAAUCUGGUUGGAGCUUCUCUUUGCUUGGCCCAUCUGCCUCCUUAGUCUUUAUGCCAUUGCAGCUGGAAAAUCUUGGAUUAAAACUACCUCCUUGCUAUAUGGUGUUUCCACUCUCACUUCAAUGGUAAGAAAUUUGCUUAUUGUUUAUAUUUGGGGCUGAUUGCAAUCUGUCUUGUUUGUCUCUGGACUCUGUUAAUUUAAGAUUAAUAGAUUGUUGUGCUAGCUUCAAAUUGUCUUGUUUUUGUGGUUGAUGUUUCAUAUAUCAGUGGAAUUGGAUUUAAAUUAGAUUGAAUUUGAUAACAUUAUGGGAUGAAGCAGAUGCAUUCUGGGUGAAUUUUUGCUUUGCUUGCUCUUUCCCCCUCAUAAGAUCGGAUUCAUCAGAUAGCUCUAGUAUAUUCGAAUAUAAGUUGUAUUGACAUUACCCCUAAGAUGAAAGAUUGUAACUUUUGGACCUUUUAUGGUUAAUGGAAAUAAUUUGAGAAAUUAAUGUGAAUGAUAGUAUGCUGAGGUUGGGAGUAGCGGGAGUUACGAGAGAUAGAAGUAGGCCGAAGAAGAACUGGGGGAGGUGAUUAAACCUGACAUGAGACAGCUUUAGCUUAACGACAAUAUGAUCCUAGAAAGGAAGGUAUGAAGGUCGAAGAUGAGAGUAUAAGGUUAUAAGUUAGAGAGUGUGGUCUCACUUUAUGUGGGAUGGGCAGGGAGCUAGCCUCCUAUCCUUAUUAGUAGUUUUUUUAGUCUCUUAUUCUUCCAUGUGUAUUAGUAUAUGUUGCUUCACUUGCUUUGCUUUCUUGUUUUCAUACUUGCUUACAAUCUUGCUUCGAAAACUUCCCUUUUGAGCCAAGGGUAUGUUGGAAACAACCUCUAAAGUCUAAACCCACAAAGAUAGGGGUAAGGUCUGCGUACAUCCACACUCUCCAAACUCCACUUGUGGGACUACACUUGGUAUAUAUGUUGUUGUUGAUGUAUGCUUGGAAGUUGGAACUCUAUUUUCACCUUAUCAAGAAAAGUUGGAACUCUAUUUUACCACUAGAGUUUCCAUUUCGAUUUGCAAUGUCAAGUUCUUUAUCUGGUUUCUUCUCUCCAGCUUGGCAUCAUGCCACCUUGUUUCUUUUACUAUGAUUAUCUUUACGCAGUGGCGAAUUUACAGCCAAAAAAUAGAGUACCCGCACCCGUGGUCUCUUCGUAAAAUUAGAUAUUUUAUAUGUAUAUUUUUUAAGAUUUUGUAUAAUAUUAUAUUCUUGCACCCGUACUACAAGAAGUCUAAAUGGUCCACAUGGUUAAAUGUUGAGCUUUUGACCUUGAGGAUUAAAGGAUCAAUUCUCACUUCAAUACAUUUUACUUGGUGCACCCAUUUUCGAAAAAUCCUAGAUUCGCCUCUGUCUUUACGUUUUUUACCUUAAGUACUUAACUUGCUUUUGAGAUAAGAGUCAAGUGGAAUUGCAUCUGCUUAUGGUUUACUUUUCUAAUCAAUGUUGCUAAUCUCAGGUGGCAAUACUAAGUGAAAUGAAGGGUUCCGAGAAAGCAUCAGACAAGUUGCUGAUGGUGUACUAUCCAUUUCUAGGAUUUGCUGUUUUAGCGAUUUUACGUGGUCUACUACCUCAUUCUAGCAAGAGUGUUAGCAUUGGAAAAGGAUCCACGAUAAGCAGAAAGAAGAGGGCUUAAUCUUUCAACGAAUUGAAGAGUUUGUAUUUCUUUUGGCAUUGAUCUUUCAAUUUCGACUCCAGAAACCAUAUCAAUUU
RNAcentral lists this long non-coding RNA (2977 nucleotides) under Solanum tuberosum (potato). RNAcentral's name for it is "long non-coding RNA (STUB_LNC007640)". Lineage: Eukaryota; Viridiplantae; Streptophyta; Magnoliopsida; Solanales; Solanaceae. The record is from RNAcentral.